GAAAAACUGCAGGAUGAUGAACACCGCGCAAUAUUCAGGACAGUUCAGCUGUUGAUAAUGUUUUGCAACCAAGGAGCAAGAUAUUAGCCCACUUGUGGGUGUGUACAGAGGUGUCAGAAAGAAGCUUCCACUUGGGGACAGAAGAGCCAAAAAAAAGAAGAAAAGAAGAAGGAGAAGAAAAAGAAAAAGAGUGCUCCCCUGACCAGUGAAGAGUGGAACGGGCAGCUCUCCCAGGUCCUGCUGGCCCAGGCUUGGGGCCUGAAGUGUAUGCCCUGCCUGCCCACUCAAGAGGUAAUUAAGAGCUGAUUGC
Molecule: long non-coding RNA, 310 nt
Filed under: Felis catus (domestic cat)
Lineage: Eukaryota; Metazoa; Chordata; Mammalia; Carnivora; Felidae
Description: lncRNA (ENSFCAG00000044161.2)
Source: RNAcentral